This 351-nucleotide transfer-messenger RNA is filed under the name Verrucomicrobiia. RNAcentral describes it as "JABWAM01 sp013360985 Standard tmRNA". It matches the Rfam family "transfer-messenger RNA". Rfam says of the family: Bacterial tmRNA, also known as 10Sa RNA or SsrA, is named for its dual tRNA and mRNA-like properties. Its role is to liberate the mRNA from a stalled ribosome. Lineage: Bacteria; Pseudomonadati; Verrucomicrobiota. RNAcentral also lists the same sequence under 1 other name. The record is from RNAcentral.
GGGGGCGACCGGCAUCGACCUGAGAGAUGAGGUUGGAGCUGCAGGCCGGGGAUCCUCGUUGGCCCCGUCAUCAAACGAGGGAAACAACAGAAGCUAACGAACAGUUGGCUCUGGCGGCCUAAGCCCGCCAGCGUGUGAAGGACGACACCUGCUGGUUCUUCACGCGCCCUCAGCAGGUUAGCCGUGAGGCGGAACGACCGCGACCUUGCGGUGAAACAAUCUCGUGGACGUGAGGCGGCGGCUGGGGACGGGCUGCCAAGGUCGCCGCCGAAAUCUCUCAGCCCGUUAAGCCUGUAGACGCUUCUCCCGAUUUUCCCAGGGACAGGGGUUCAACUCCCCUCGCCUCCACCA